AACGAACGCUGGCGGCAUGCCUAACACAUGCAAGUCGAACGAGACCUUCGGGUCUAGUGGCGCACGGGUGCGUAACGCGUGGGAACCUGCCCUUAGGUUCGGAAUAACUCCCCGAAAGGGGUGCUAAUACCGGAUAAUGUCUUCGGACCAAAGAUUUAUCGCCUUUGGAUGGGCCCGCGUUGGAUUAGCUAGUUGGUAGGGUAAAAGCCUACCAAGGCGACGAUCCAUAGCUGGUCUGAGAGGAUGAGCAGCCACACUGGGACUGAGACACGGCCCAGAAUCCUACGGGAGGCAGCAGUGGGGAAUAUUGGAAAAUGGGCGAAAGCAUGAUCCAGCAAUGCCGCGUGAGUGAUGAAGGCCUUAGGGUAGUAAAGCUCUUUUACCCGGGAUGAUAAUGACAGUACCGGGAGAAUAAGCUCCGGCUAACUCCGUG
RNAcentral lists this ribosomal RNA (433 nucleotides) under uncultured bacterium. Its description in RNAcentral is "partial 16S ribosomal RNA". It matches the Rfam family "Bacterial small subunit ribosomal RNA", at positions 29 to 507 of the family's 1533-position model. The record is from RNAcentral.